Molecule: non-coding RNA, 31 nt
Filed under: Rattus norvegicus (Norway rat)
Lineage: Eukaryota; Metazoa; Chordata; Mammalia; Rodentia; Muridae
Source: RNAcentral
CUGUGCAGAAUUGCUGGCCACAAGGCUAGGG